GAGAUCGGGAUAACACCUGGAACCAGAUGCUAAUACCGGAUAACAACAGAUGAUGCCUAUCAACUGUUUAAAAGAUGGUUCUGCUAUCACUCUUGGAUGGACCUGCGGUGCAUUAGCUAGUUGGUAGGGUAACGGCCUACCAAGGCGAUGAUGCAUAGCCGAGUUGAGAGACUGAUCGGCCACAUUGGGACUGAGACACGGCCCAAACUCCUACGGGAGGCAGCAGCU
Molecule: ribosomal RNA, 228 nt
Filed under: uncultured Lactobacillus sp.
Lineage: Bacteria; Bacillati; Bacillota; Bacilli; Lactobacillales; Lactobacillaceae
Description: partial 16S ribosomal RNA
Rfam family: Bacterial small subunit ribosomal RNA
Source: RNAcentral